Molecule: ribosomal RNA, 406 nt
Filed under: uncultured bacterium
Lineage: Bacteria
Description: partial 16S ribosomal RNA
Rfam family: Bacterial small subunit ribosomal RNA
Source: RNAcentral
AUUGAACGCUGGCGGCAGGCCUAACACAUGCAAGUAGAGCGAGAGGCGGACGGGGGAGUAAUGUAUGGGGAUCUGCCCGAUGGAGGGGGAUAACUACUGGAAAAGGUAGCUAAUACCGCAUACUAUCGGAUGAACCCAGAUGGGAUGAGCUAGUUGGUGGGGUAAAGGAGCACAAAGGCAAAGAUCCCUAUCGGGUUUGAGAGUACGACCAGCCACACUGGUACUGAGACACGGCCCAGACUCCUACGGGAGGCAUCAGUGGGGAAUUUUGGACAAUGGGUGAAACCCUGAUCCAGCCAUCCCGCGUGUAUGAUGAAGGCCUUCGGGUUGUAAAGUACUUUUGGCAGAGAAGCGGUAUCUGCAGAAUAAGCACCGGCUAACUACGUGCCAGCAGCCGCGGUAAUUC